RNAcentral lists this ribosomal RNA (253 nucleotides) under uncultured bacterium. RNAcentral's name for it is "partial 16S ribosomal RNA". It matches the Rfam family "Bacterial small subunit ribosomal RNA", at positions 524 to 776 of the family's 1533-position model. The record is from RNAcentral.
UACGAAGGGGGCUAGCGUUGCUCGGAAUCACUGGGCGUAAAGGGUGCGUAGGCGGGUCUUUAAGUCAGGGGUGAAAUCCUGGAGCUCAACUCCAGAACUGCCUUUGAUACUGGGAAUCUUGAGUAUGGAAGAGGUGAGUGGAACUGCGAGUGUAGAGGUGAAAUUCGUAGAUAUUCGCAAGAACACCAGUGGCGAAGGCGGCUCACUGGUCCAUAACUGACGCUGAGGCACGAAAGCGUGGGGAGCAAACAGG